RNAcentral lists this ribosomal RNA (734 nucleotides) under uncultured bacterium. Its description in RNAcentral is "bacterial SSU rRNA". It matches the Rfam family "Bacterial small subunit ribosomal RNA", at positions 9 to 734 of the family's 1533-position model. The record is from RNAcentral.
GAGUUUGAUCCUGGCUCAGGAUGAACGCUAGCGGCAGGCUUAACACAUGCCAAGUUCGAACGGUAACAGGAUUGAUUUAUCAAUUGCUGACGAGUGGCGCACGGGUGCGUAACACGUAUGCAACCUACCUUUUACAGGAGAAUAGCCCCGAGAAAUCGGGAUUAAUACUCCAUGGUACUAUAAGACCGCAUGGUCUAAUAGUUAAAGCUUCGGCGGUAAAGGAUGGGCAUGCGACCUAUUAGUUUGUUGGUGAGGUAACGGCUCACCAAGACUUCGAUAGGUAGGGGGUCUGAGAGGAUGAUCCCCCACACUGGUACUGAGGCACGGACCAGACUCCUACGGGAGGCAGCAGUGAGGAAUAUUGGUCAAUGGAGGAAACUCUGAACCAGCCAUGCCGCGUGCAGGAAGACGGCCCUACGGGUUGUAAACUGCUUUUAUUCGGGAAGAAACCCUGCUACGUGUAGCAGGCUGACGGUACCAAACGAAUAAGCACCGGCUAACUCCGUGCCAGCAGCCGCGGUAAUACGGAGGGUGCAAGCGUUAUCCGGAAUUAUUGGGUUUAAAGGGUCCGUAGGCGGACCGUUAAGUCAGUGGUGAAAUCCUUCGGCUCAACCGGAGAACUGCCAUUGAAACUGAUGGUCUUGAAUAUAGUUGAANUGGGCGGAAUAUGGCAUGUAGCGGUGAAAUGCUUAGAUAUGCCAUAGAACACCGAUAGCGAANGCAGCUCACUAAGU